AAAUGUGAAAGGAAAAAAACCCAGCACCUGCAAUUAAGAGGAUAGUCUAUAUGUAGAUUCUGCUGGCUGUUGCUGAUAACAAAAUCAAUGAACAUUAGUGUAACUUCAAUGAAAUACAGGAAGUUGAACACAUAAGACCGUUUGGAUGCAGAUUAGUACAAUAAACCAUGAGGAUGUGAACAUCAAA
Myotis brandtii (Brandt's bat) is the source of this 187-nucleotide long non-coding RNA. RefSeq lists it as uncharacterized. NCBI's taxonomy places the organism in Eukaryota, Metazoa, Chordata, Mammalia, Chiroptera, Vespertilionidae. The record is from RefSeq and is a predicted model, not a curated record. The transcript is spliced from 2 exons.